UACAGAGGUCUCAACCGUUGUUCGGAUUCAUUGGGCGUAAAGGGUGCGUAGGCGGUCGCGUAAGUCAGGUGUGAAAUCUCAGGGCUCAACCCUGAAACUGCACUUGAUACUGCGUAGCUCGGGUACUGGAGAGGAGACUGGAAUUUACGGUGUAGCAGUGAAAUGCGUAGAUAUCGUAAGGAAGACCAGUGGCGAAGGCGAGUCUCUGGACAGUUCCUGACGCUGAGGCACGAAGGUCAGGGGAGCAAACGGG
Molecule: ribosomal RNA, 253 nt
Filed under: uncultured bacterium
Lineage: Bacteria
Description: partial 16S ribosomal RNA
Rfam family: Bacterial small subunit ribosomal RNA
Source: RNAcentral